RNAcentral lists this ribosomal RNA (780 nucleotides) under Arthrobacter psychrolactophilus. RNAcentral's name for it is "bacterial SSU rRNA". It matches the Rfam family "Bacterial small subunit ribosomal RNA", at positions 43 to 824 of the family's 1533-position model. Lineage: Bacteria; Bacillati; Actinomycetota; Actinomycetes; Micrococcales; Micrococcaceae. The record is from RNAcentral.
CGUGCUUAACACAUGCAAGUCGAACGAUGAACUCUAGCUUGCUGGGGGGAUUAGUGGCGAACGGGUGAGUAACACGUGAGUAACCUGCCCUUAACUCUGGGAUAAGCCUGGGAAACUGGGUCUAAUACUGGAUAUUGACUUUACCUCGCAUGGGGUUUGGUUGAAAGAUUUAUUGGUUUUGGAUGGACUCGCGGCCUAUCAGCUUGUUGGUGAGGUAAUGGCUCACCAAGGCGACGACGGGUAGCCGGCCUGAGAGGGUGACCGGCCACACUGGGACUGAGACACGGCCCAGACUCCUACGGGAGGCAGCAGUGGGGAAUAUUGCACAAUGGGCGAAAGCCUGAUGCAGCGACGCCGCGUGAGGGAUGACGGCCUUCGGGUUGUAAACCUCUUUCAGUAGGGAACAAGGCCAGUGUUUAGUUGGUUGAGGGUACCUGCAGAAGAAGCGCCGGCUAACUACGUGCCAGCAGCCGCGGUAAUACGUAGGGCGCAAGCGUUAUCCGGAAUUAUUGGGCGUAAAGAGCUCGUAGGCGGUUUGUCGCGUCUGCCGUGAAAGUCCGGGGCUCAACUCCGGAUCUGCGGUGGGUACGGGCAGACUAGAGUGAUGUAGGGGAGACUGGAAUUCCUGGUGUAGCGGUGAAAUGCGCAGAUAUCAGGAGGAACACCGAUGGCGAAGGCAGGUCUCUGGGCAUUAACUGACGCUGAGGAGCGAAAGCAUGGGGAGCGAACAGGAUUAGAUACCCUGGUAGUCCAUGCCGUAAACGUUGGGCACUAGGUGUG